Molecule: ribosomal RNA, 448 nt
Filed under: uncultured bacterium
Lineage: Bacteria
Description: bacterial SSU rRNA
Rfam family: Bacterial small subunit ribosomal RNA
Source: RNAcentral
CCCAGACUCCUACGGGAGGCAGCAGUGGGGAAUAUUGCACAAUGGGGGAAACCCUGAUGCAGCGACGCCGCGUGAGUGAAGAAGUCUUUCGGUAUGUAAAGCUCUCUCAGCAGGGAAGAAAAUGACGGUACCUGACUAAGAAGCCCCGGCUAACUACGUGCCAGCAGCCGCGGUAAUACGUAGGGGGCAAGCGUUAUCCGGAUUUACUGGGUGUAAAGGGAGCGUAGGCGGUUUAGCAAGUCAGAAGUGAAAGCCCGGGGCUCAACUCCGGGACUGCUUUUGAAACUGUUGAACUAGAUUGCAGGAGAGGUAAGUGGAAUUCCUAGUGUAGCGGUGAAAUGCGUAGAUAUUAGGAGGAACACCAGUGGCGAAGGCGGCUUACUGGACUGUAAAUGACGCUGAGGCUCGAAAGCGUGGGGAGCAAACAGGAUUAGAUACCCCCGUAACA